This 426-nucleotide ribosomal RNA is filed under the name uncultured bacterium. RNAcentral's name for it is "bacterial SSU rRNA". It matches the Rfam family "Bacterial small subunit ribosomal RNA", at positions 354 to 796 of the family's 1533-position model. The record is from RNAcentral.
GUGGGGAAUAUUGCGCAAUGGGCGAAAGCCUGACGCAGCGACGCCGCGUGAGGGAUGAAGGCCUUCGGGUUGUAAACCUCUUUCAGCAGGGACGAAAACAGACGGUACCUGCAGAAGAAGCACCGGCCAACUACGUGCCAGCAGCCGCGGUAAUACGUAGGGUGCAAGCGUUGUCCGGAAUUAUUGGGCGUAAAGAGCUCGUAGGCGGUUUGUCGCGUCGGCUGUGAAAACUCGGGGCUCAACCCCGAGCCUGCAGUCGAUACGGGCAGACUAGAGUGCUGUAGGGGAGACUGGAAUUCCUGGUGUAGCGGUGAAAUGCGCAGAUAUCAGGAGGAACACCGGUGGCGAAGGCGGGUCUCUGGGCAGUAACUGACGCUGAGGAGCGAAAGCGUGGGGAGCAAACAGGAUUAGAUACCCUUGUAGUCC